GGACGCAUGGUCCAGUGGUCCAAGACAACUCAUGGUCUGUUAAAUGUUCUCUGCGUAGUUCUAGGUCAGUUGGGUCUUUGUUGUACUGCUACGGUCGUGCUGCGAUGAUUUCCUUGGCUUCAGGUUCUAUGUAAGAGUCAUUGACUAGUGUGAUGUAGACCCAGGUUCGACUCCUGGUGUGUCCA
This is a non-coding RNA of Triangularia verruculosa, 185 nucleotides long. NCBI's taxonomy places the organism in Eukaryota, Fungi, Ascomycota, Sordariomycetes, Sordariales, Podosporaceae. The record is from the annotation of a GenBank genome assembly.